This 260-nucleotide ribosomal RNA is filed under the name uncultured bacterium. Its description in RNAcentral is "partial 16S ribosomal RNA". It matches the Rfam family "Bacterial small subunit ribosomal RNA", at positions 793 to 1055 of the family's 1533-position model. The record is from RNAcentral.
GUCCACGCCCUAACGAUGUCAACUGGUUGUCGGGAAGCAAUUCCUUGGUAACGAAGCUAACGCGUGAAGUUGACCGCCUGGGGAGUACGGCCGCAAGGUUAAACUCAAAGGAAUUGACGGGGACCCGCACAAGCGGUGGAUUAUGUGGAUUAAUUCGAUGCAACGCGAAAACCUUACCUACCCUUGACAUGUACGGAACCUCGCAGAGAUGUGAGGGUGCCCGAAAGGGAACCGUAACACAGGUGCUGCAUGGCUGUCGU